This 910-nucleotide ribosomal RNA is filed under the name uncultured bacterium. RNAcentral describes it as "bacterial SSU rRNA". It matches the Rfam family "Bacterial small subunit ribosomal RNA", at positions 33 to 935 of the family's 1533-position model. The record is from RNAcentral.
ACGCUAGCGAUAGGCUUAACACAUGCAAGUCGAGGGGCAGCAUGGUCUUAGCUUGCUAAGACUGAUGGCGACCGGUGCACGGGUGCGUAACGCGUAUGCAACUUGCCUCACAGAGGGGGAUAACCCGUCGAAAGACGGACUAAUACCGCGUACACUCUAUGUUGGGCAUCCAAUGUAGAGGAAAUGAACUUCGCUGUGAGAUAGGCAUGCGUCCCAUUAGCUAGUUGGUGAGGUAACGGCUCACCAAGGCGACGAUGGGUAGGGGAACUGAGAGGUUGAACCCCCACACUGGUACUGAGACGCGGACCAGACUCCUACGGGAGGCAGCAGUGAGGAAUAUCGGUCAAUGGGCGAGAGCCUGAACCAGCCAAGUCGCGUGAAGGAUGACUGUCUUAUGGAUUGUAAACUUCUUUUAUACGGGAAUAACAAGAGUCACGUGUGACUCCCUGCAUGUACCGUAUGAAUAAGCAUCGGCUAACUCCGUGCCAGCAGCCGCGGUAAUACGGAGGAUGCGAGCGUUAUCCGGAUUUAUUGGGUUUAAAGGGUGCGUAGGCGGCCUGUUAAGUCAGCGGUGAAAUCUAGGAGCUUAACUCCUAAAUUGCCAUUGAUACUGGCGGGCUUGAGUGUAGAUGAGGUAGGCGGAAUGCGUGGUGUAGCGGUGGAAUGCAUAGAUAUCACGCAGAACUCCGAUUGCGAAGGCAGCUUACUAAGGUACAACUGACGCUGAAGCACGAAAGCGUGGGUAUCAAACAGGAUUAGAUACCCUGGUAGUCCACGCAGUAAACGAUGAUAACUGGGCGUAUGCGAUAUACAGUAUGCUCCUAAGCGAAAGCGUUAAGUUAUCCACCUGGGGAGUACGCCGGCAACGGUGAAACUCAAAGGAAUUGACGGGGGCCCGCACAAGCGGAGG